Long non-coding RNA from Pteropus alecto (black flying fox), 432 nucleotides. RefSeq lists it as uncharacterized. Lineage: Eukaryota; Metazoa; Chordata; Mammalia; Chiroptera; Pteropodidae. The transcript is spliced from 2 exons. The record is from RefSeq and is a predicted model, not a curated record.
GGUAGCCCCGUGUCGCAUGUCGUGUAAGGCGGCGGGGCCCCUGGGCCAGGGGCUGUGGGGACCCUGUAACUGCUCUCUGGGGUGGAGCUCAGGCCUUGACCUCCAUCGAGGUAAAGGAGAAUUGAAAGCAGGUAUAUCUGGGUUUCACGGUGCACCCGAAGGUGACUGUGCGUGGGGACUGAAUUGCUUUGGCGCAGCGUUCCUGCGAAGAGGUUCGUGGGAAGUGCCUUCCUCCCUGCUUUCCUUCAACAGGCUACCUGAAGCCUCGGGCGGAGGAGGAGAGGAGGGUAGCCGCCGAGGAGAAGAAGAAGCAGGAUGAACUGAAACGGAUUGAGAGGGAAUUAGCGGAAGCCCGAGAUGACAGCAUCCUGAAGUGAGCCUGCCUUCCUCCGCAGCAGUGUGGACGAAUAAAGCUUUCUGUGUUGUGGGACA